GAUUAAGUUAUUAAGGGCGCACGGUGGAUGCCUUGGCACUAGAAGCCGAUGAAGGACGUUACUAACGACGAUAUGCUUUGGGGAGCUGUAAGUAAGCUUUGAUCCAGAGAUUUCCGAAUGGGGAAACCCAGCAUGAGUUAUGUCAUGUUAUCGAUAUGUGAAUACAUAGCAUAUCAGAAGGCACACCCGGAGAACUGAAACAUCUUAGUACCCGGAGGAAGAGAAAGAAAAUUCGAUUCCCUUAGUAGCGGCGAGCGAAACGGGAAGAGCCCAAACCAACAAGCUUGCUUGUUGGGGUUGUAGGACACUCUAUACGGAGUUACAAAGGACGACAUUAGACGAAUCAUCUGGAAAGAUGAAUCAAAGAAGGUAAUAAUCCUGUAGUCGAAAAUGUUGUCUCUCUUGAGUGGAUCCUGAGUACGACGGAGCACGUGAAAUUCCGUCGGAAUCUGGGAGGACCAUCUCCUAAGGCUAAAUACUCUCUAGUGACCGAUAGUGAACCAGUACCGUGAGGGAAAGGUGAAAAGCACCCCGGAAGGGGAGUGAAAUAGAACCUGAAACCGUGUGCUUACAAGUAGUCAGAGCCCGUUAAUGGGUGAUGGCGUGCCUUUUGUAGAAUGAACCGGCGAGUUACGAUUUGAUGCAAGGUUAAGCAGUAAAUGUGGAGCCGUAGCGAAAGCGAGUCUGAAUAGGGCGUUUAGUAUUUGGUCGUAGACCCGAAACCAGGUGAUCUACCCUUGGUCAGGUUGAAGUUCAGGUAACACUGAAUGGAGGACCGAACCGACUUACGUUGAAAAGUGAGCGGAUGAACUGAGGGUAGCGGAGAAAUUCCAAUCGAACCUGGAGAUAGCUGGUUCUCUCCGAAAUAGCUUUAGGGCUAGCCUCAAGUGAUGAUUAUUGGAGGUAGAGCACUGUUUGGACGAGGGGCCCCUCUCGGGUUACCGAAUUCAGACAAACUCCGAAUGCCAAUUAAUUUAACUUGGGAGUCAGAACAUGGGUGAUAAGGUCCGUGUUCGAAAGGGAAACAGCCCAGACCACCAGCUAAGGUCCCAAAAUAUAUGUUAAGUGGAAAAGGAUGUGGCGUUGCCCAGACAACUAGGAUGUUGGCUUAGAAGCAGCCAUCAUUUAAAGAGUGCGUAAUAGCUCACUAGUCGAGUGACACUGCGCCGAAAAUGUACCGGGGCUAAACAUAUUACCGAAGCUGUGGAUUGUCCUUUGGACAAUGGUAGGAGAGCGUUCUAAGGGCGUUGAAGCAUGAUCGUAAGGACAUGUGGAGCGCUUAGAAGUGAGAAUGCCGGUGUGAGUAGCGAAAGACGGGUGAGAAUCCCGUCCACCGAUUGACUAAGGUUUCCAGAGGAAGGCUCGUCCGCUCUGGGUUAGUCGGGUCCUAAGCUGAGGCCGACAGGCGUAGGCGAUGGAUAACAGGUUGAUAUUCCUGUACCACCUAUAAUCGUUUUAAUCGAUGGGGGGACGCAGUAGGAUAGGCGAAGCGUGCGAUUGGAUUGCACGUCUAAGCAGUAAGGCUGAGUAUUAGGCAAAUCCGGUACUCGUUAAGGCUGAGCUGUGAUGGGGAGAAGACAUUGUGUCUUCGAGUCGUUGAUUUCACACUGCCGAGAAAAGCCUCUAGAUAGAAAAUAGGUGCCCGUACCGCAAACCGACACAGGUAGUCAAGAUGAGAAUUCUAAGGUGAGCGAGCGAACUCUCGUUAAGGAACUCGGCAAAAUGACCCCGUAACUUCGGGAGAAGGGGUGCUCUUUAGGGUUAACGCCCAGAAGAGCCGCAGUGAAUAGGCCCAAGCGACUGUUUAUCAAAAACACAGGUCUCUGCUAAACCGUAAGGUGAUGUAUAGGGGCUGACGCCUGCCCGGUGCUGGAAGGUUAAGAGGAGUGGUUAGCUUCUGCGAAGCUACGAAUCGAAGCCCCAGUAAACGGCGGCCGUAACUAUAACGGUCCUAAGGUAGCGAAAUUCCUUGUCGGGUAAGUUCCGACCCGCACGAAAGGCGUAACGAUUUGGGCACUGUCUCAACGAGAGACUCGGUGAAAUCAUAGUACCUGUGAAGAUGCAGGUUACCCGCGACAGGACGGAAAGACCCCGUGGAGCUUUACUGUAGCCUGAUAUUGAAAUUCGGCACAGCUUGUACAGGAUAGGUAGGAGCCUUUGAAACGUGAGCGCUAGCUUACGUGGAGGCGCUGGUGGGAUACUACCCUAGCUGUGUUGGCUUUCUAACCCGCACCACUUAUCGUGGUGGGAGACAGUGUCAGGCGGGCAGUUUGACUGGGGCGGUCGCCUCCUAAAAGGUAACGGAGGCGCUCAAAGGGUCCCUCAGAAUGGUUGGAAAUCAUUCAUAGAGUGUAAAGG
RNAcentral lists this ribosomal RNA (2358 nucleotides) under Staphylococcus aureus M1057. Its description in RNAcentral is "LSU rRNA". It matches the Rfam family "Bacterial large subunit ribosomal RNA", at positions 1 to 2357 of the family's 2925-position model. Lineage: Bacteria; Bacillati; Bacillota; Bacilli; Caryophanales; Staphylococcaceae. The record is from RNAcentral.